UCGCUCAUGCCUCUCCUCACAUCAACGAAAGAGCCUUUCGAAUUUUACUAAAGACUACCGUGGGGAGGUGCAUUCAAUGGGCCUAUAGGGGAAUUUUUGAAAGGCUGCUACCGUUUUGUAGUAG
Ixodes scapularis (black-legged tick) is the source of this 124-nucleotide small nuclear RNA. RefSeq annotates it as U5 spliceosomal RNA. NCBI's taxonomy places the organism in Eukaryota, Metazoa, Arthropoda, Arachnida, Ixodida, Ixodidae. The record is from RefSeq and is a predicted model, not a curated record. The transcript has a single exon.